Molecule: ribosomal RNA, 465 nt
Filed under: uncultured bacterium
Lineage: Bacteria
Description: partial 16S ribosomal RNA
Rfam family: Bacterial small subunit ribosomal RNA
Source: RNAcentral
GACGAACGCUGGCGGCGUGCUUAACACAUGCAAGUCGAACGGAAAGGCCCCUUUGGGGGUCCUCGAGUGGCGAACGGGUGAGUAACACGUGAGUAACCUGCCCUUGACUUCGGGAUAACUUCAGGAAACUGGGGCUAAUACCGGAUAGGAAUCCUUGCUGCAUGGUGGGGGUUGGAAAGCUUCGGCGGUUUUGGAUGGACUCGCGGCUUAUCAGCUUGUUGGUGGGGUAGUGGCUUACCAAGGCUUUGACGGGUAGCCGGCCUGAGAGGGCGACCGGCCACAUUGGGACUGAGAUACGGCCCAGACUCCUACGGGAGGCAGCAGUGGGGAAUAUUGCACAAUGGGCGGAAGCCUGAUGCAGCAACGCCGCGUGCGGGAUGACGGCCUUAGGGUUGUAAACCGCUUUCAGCAGGGGCGAAGCUUGUGGUGACGGUACCUGCAGAAGAAGCACCGGCUAACUACGUG